GGGAUAUUUCAGCUUCAUUAUAGUGUUCCUUAGGUUCUAGAUGCAUCAAUACAUGCUUCAUAAUUUUGGGGGACAAUCAGUUCUUCAUAGAAAAAGAAGAUCUCCUAAAUUAGUAGAGAGUUCAGCUUAUCUUUGAUAUCAUUUCGUGCCAUCUUCAGAACUACUAAGAGUUGCAGAAGGCCAAAUUCAGUAAAUUAGAGUUGCAGAAGGAAAAUUUCAGCACAUAAAUUGUGAGAAGGUAUUUUUAGCCUUUCCCAUUAUAUUUUCCUUCUUCUCACAGUAUGGUAGAUUUAACAUCAAUAGUUUUAUAUAAAUGUCUGGGUAGAUAUUGAGAAUUUUUAUAUGCGGGCUUAUUACUAUAAAAUAUAGGGAUUAAUCAUAUGGAAUAAUUUCAAUCUAUGAAUAAGAAUUAUACAUAUGCGGUGUGAUAUUUCACUGAUUUUUUACUUUUUUCUUAUUAAUUGUAUUAUGAGUGAAUCUGAUCUGCGUGCCUAAAGUGAUUGGGCUUCCACAGGACCUAUUUUUAGUUGUUUUAGUUUAGCUCAUUCUCUAUUUUUAGUUGUUUUAUUUCAGCUCAUUCUCACUCAACUUGCCUUGUUAUCUCCACUCUGUCUACGUCUAACAUUCAGGAAGUUGUAAUUCAUGUUGUACACUCCUACUUUGUUGAAUGAAGUUGGCGCCAUGGGCACCUUUCCCCGUUAAAAAAACACAAUUUUCAUCUAAUUACAUGAGUUGUUUUCACCGAAAAGUAUUGCACAUGCAUGCUUCAUUGAUAUUUCAAGUGUACAGUAUGCUGCUUUUGAAUGAAUAUAUUGCUUCUUAACAUGAUUUCUAUUGCACUACAAUGUUGUAGGUAUUGCUAUUCUUUAGAUUACUCACCUAGCAAAGAGGAAGAGACAUGCUUCGGUGGAUCGAUUUGUAUAGAUUGGCUCGUGAUGAUAUGCCUGUUAGGACCAGCAGCGAUGGUUUGAUUCAGAUUUAAAUUUCACUACCACUACAUCACAGGGAUAAACCCAGCUCAAGGAUCUUCUCACCUCUAAUAAGAAGAGAACAAGAGCUUCAUAUUCUGCAUCCAAUACCCACUAUCACUACAUGUUGUAGAUCACUUAUGUAUGUAUCAACUAGAUGUACCCUUUACCUUAUAN
This 1145-nucleotide long non-coding RNA is filed under the name Triticum aestivum (bread wheat). RNAcentral's name for it is "long non-coding RNA (TAES_LNC021867)". Lineage: Eukaryota; Viridiplantae; Streptophyta; Magnoliopsida; Poales; Poaceae. The record is from RNAcentral.